Molecule: long non-coding RNA, 578 nt
Organism: Neofelis nebulosa (Clouded leopard)
Lineage: Eukaryota; Metazoa; Chordata; Mammalia; Carnivora; Felidae
Exons: 2
Source: RefSeq, a predicted model, not a curated record
UCUCAGUAUCUGUGAUAACUGCGUGUUAUUUCCGUAAAGAAAGAAUUAAUGACCAUGUACUGGAUCAAAUGGCAUUCUACUGCAGAACUGAGCACUGCCAUUCAAUUAUUACAUCAGUGCCUAUAUUGUGUUCACCAUCUAAGGAACCUUCAUGUGUGCAGGCUAGCAGGAAAAGCAGAGAGUAUCUCCCAGGAAAAUACUCUAUUUGUGCUACAUCCUUCAAAAGAGAAGUGAAGACAGUGUCACUGCUGUGUCAAUACCAGGAAAGGUGAGAUACAAGACAGCACAAAGGAGUGUCAUUAUACUGAACUCAACACACUCUGUUUCUGAAAAACAAGAUCUUUCAUCACAGGCAGCCUGAACUGAGCCCAGCGGGACUCCCCAUCACCUGUAGUAGCUGAGAACAUCGCGGUCCUCCUUCUGCCCUUCUUUGGCAUCUUGGGCCAGUUCCCGGACACUUUUGCUGCGAAUCUCCUUGCUGCUGUCCCUCCAAAAGAGCCACACCUCUUCCUCGUCUUCUCCUGCUUCCAGAGCAUUCUCUCCAGUAGAAACACCCUCAAAUUCAAAACGAGAAAGAA